CGCAAGCACUCAAUUUGAAAAGCAGUGUUGAUAUAUAUAGAUUGAUAUAUAUAUAGUGUUGAUAUAUAUAAUCUAUAUAUAUCAACACUGCUUUUCAAAUUGAGUGCUUG
Molecule: non-coding RNA, 110 nt
Organism: Paramuricea clavata
Lineage: Eukaryota; Metazoa; Cnidaria; Anthozoa; Malacalcyonacea; Plexauridae
Source: the annotation of a GenBank genome assembly